This 2427-nucleotide ribosomal RNA is filed under the name human metagenome. RNAcentral's name for it is "bacterial LSU rRNA". It matches the Rfam family "Bacterial large subunit ribosomal RNA", at positions 1 to 2443 of the family's 2925-position model. The record is from RNAcentral.
UUAAGUGAAUAAGGGCGCACGGUGGAUGCCUUGGUACUAGGAGCCGAAGAAGGACGGAACUAACACCGAUAUGCUUUGGGGAGCUGUAAGUAAGCUAAGAUCCAAAGAUUUCCGAAUGGGGGAACCCAACACCUUUCAUAGGGUGUUACCAAUGAGUGAAUACAUAGCUCAUUAGGAGGUACACGCAGGGAACUGAAACAUCUCAUUACCUGCAGGAAGAGAAAGAAAAAUCGAUUCCCUGAGUAGCGGCGAGCGAAACGGGAGGAGCCCAAACCAACGAGCUUGCUUGUUGGGGUUGUAGGACUAGAACGUGAGAAGAAAUCAAGAUAGCAGAAGUGGUCUGGAAAGGCCCAUCAAAGAAGGUGACAAUCCUGUACGCGACAUCUUGAUGAACUCUACUAGCAUCCUGAGUACGGCGGGACACGAGGAAUCCCGUCGGAAUCCGCCAGGACCAUCUGGCAAGGCUAAAUACUACCUAGUGACCGAUAGUGAACCAGUACCGUGAGGGAAAGGUGAAAAGAACCCCGGGAGGGGAGUGAAAGAGUACCUGAAACCGUGUGCUUACAAGUAGUCAGAGCCCGUUAAUGGGUGAUGGCGUGCCUUUUGUAGAAUGAACCGGCGAGUUACGUUUACAUGCGAGGUUAAGAUGAAGAGUCGGAGCCGUAGCGAAAGCGAGUCUGAAUAGGGCGCAUGUAGUAUGUGGACGUAGACCCGAAACCAAGUGAUCUACCCAUGUCCAGGUUGAAGGUGCGGUAAAACGCACUGGAGGACCGAACCAGGGCACGUUGAAAAGUGCUUGGAUGACUUGUGGGUAGCGGAGAAAUUCCAAACGAACUUGGAGAUAGCUGGUUCUCUCCGAAAUAGCUUUAGGGCUAGCGUCGACAUUAGAGAUUCUUGGAGGUAGAGCACUGUUUGGGUGAGGGGUCCAUCCCGGAUUACCAAUCUCAGAUAAACUCCGAAUGCCAAUGAAUUAUGGUCGGCAGUCAGACUGCGAGUGCUAAGAUCCGUAGUCGAAAGGGAAACAGCCCAGACCACCAGCUAAGGUCCCAAAAUAAUUGUUAAGUGGAAAAGGAUGUGGGGUUGCACAGACAACUAGGAUGUUAGCUUAGAAGCAGCUAUUCAUUCAAAGAGUGCGUAAUAGCUCACUAGUCGAGUGACCCUGCGCCGAAAAUGUACCGGGGCUAAAACAAUUUACCGAAGCUGUGGAUACCUUUAUAGGUAUGGUAGGAGAGCGUUCUAUGUGUGAAGAAGGUAUACCGUGAGGAGUGCUGGAACGCAUAGAAGUGAGAAUGCCGGUAUGAGUAGCGAAAGACAGGUGAGAAUCCUGUCCACCGUAAGACUAAGGUUUCCAGGGGAAGGCUCGUCCGCCCUGGGUUAGUCGGGACCUAAGGAGAGACCGAAAGGUGUAUCCGAUGGACAACAGGUUGAUAUUCCUGUACUAGAGUAUGUAGUGAUGGAGGGACGCAGUAGGCUAACUAAAGCAGACGAUUGGAAGUGUCUGUCUAAGCAGUGAGGUGUGAUAUGAGUCAAAUGCUUAUAUCUAUAACAUUGAGCUGUGAUGGGGAGCGAAGUUUAGUAGCGAAGUUAGUGACGUCACACUGCCAAGAAAAGCUUCUAGCGUUAAUCAUACUCUACCCGUACCGCAAACCGACACAGGUAGUCGAGGCGAGUAGCCUCAGGUGAGCGAGAGAACUCUCGUUAAGGAACUCGGCAAAAUGACCCCGUAACUUCGGGAGAAGGGGUGCUGGUAGCAAUACCAGCCGCAGUGAAUAGGCCCAGGCGACUGUUUAUCAAAAACACAGGUCUCUGCAAAAUCGAAAGAUGACGUAUAGGGGCUGACGCCUGCCCGGUGCUGGAAGGUUAAGAGGAGAGGUUAGCGCAAGCGAAGCUUUGAAUUGAAGCCCCAGUAAACGGCGGCCGUAACUAUAACGGUCCUAAGGUAGCGAAAUUCCUUGUCGGGUAAGUUCCGACCCGCACGAAAGGCGUAAUGAUUUGGGCACUGUCUCAACGAGAGACUCGGUGAAAUUUUAGUACCUGUGAAGAUGCAGGUUACCCGCGACAGGACGGAAAGACCCCAUGGAGCUUUACUGUAGUUUGAUAUUGAGUGUUUGUGUCACAUGUACAGGAUAGGUAGGAGCUGAAGAAUCCGGGACGCCAGUUUCGGAGGAGGCAACGGUGGGAUACUACCCUUGUGACAUGACCACUCUAACCCGCACCCCUAACCGGGGUGGGAGACAGUGUCAGACGGGCAGUUUGACUGGGGCGGUCGCCUCCUAAAGUGUAACGGAGGCGCCCAAAGGUUCCCUCAGAAUGGUUGGAAAUCAUUCGUAGAGUGUAAAGGCAGAAGGGAGCUUGACUGCGAGACCUACAAGUCGAGCAGGGACGAAAGUCGGGCUUAGUGAUCCGGUGGUUCCGUAUGGAAGGGCC